AACGAACGCUGGCGGCAUGCCUAACACAUGCAAGUCGAACGAGGCCUUCGGGUCUAGUGGCGCACGGGUGCGUAACGCGUGGGAACCUGCCCUUAGGUUCGGAAUAACUCCCCGAAAGGGGUGCUAAUACCGGAUAAUGUCUUCGGACCAAAGAUUUAUCGCCUUUGGAUGGGCCCGCGUUGGAUUAGCUAGUUGGUAGGGUAAAAGCCUACCAAGGCGACGAUCCAUAGCUGGUCUGAGAGGAUGAUCAGCCACACUGGGACUGAGACACGGCCCAGACUCCUACGGGAUGCAGCAGUGGGUAAUAUUGGACAAUGGGCGAAAGCCUGAUCCAGCAAUGCCGCGUGAGUGAUGAAGGCCUUAGGGUUGUAAAGCUCUUUUACCCGGGAUGAUAAUGACAGUACCGGGAGAAUAAGCUCCGGCUAACUCCGUG
This 433-nucleotide ribosomal RNA is filed under the name uncultured bacterium. RNAcentral's name for it is "partial 16S ribosomal RNA". It matches the Rfam family "Bacterial small subunit ribosomal RNA", at positions 29 to 507 of the family's 1533-position model. The record is from RNAcentral.